AGAUUUAUCGCCGAAAGAUUGGCCCGCGUCUGAUUAGCUAGUUGGUAGGGUAAUGGCCUACCAAGGCGACGAUCAGUAGCUGGUCUGAGAGGAUGAUCAGCCACAUUGGGACUGAGACACGGCCCAAACUCCUACGGGAGGCAGCAGUGGGGAAUAUUGGACAAUGGGGGCAACCCUGAUCCAGCCAUGCCGCGUGAGUGAUGAAGGCCCUAGGGUUGUAAAGCUCUUUUGUGCGGGAAGAUAAUGACGGUACCGCAAGAAUAAGCCCCGGCUAACUUCGUGCCAGCAGCCGCGGUAAUACGAAGGGGGCUAGCGUUGCUCGGAAUCACUGGGCGUAAAGGGUGCGUAGGCGGGUCUUUAAGUCAGGGGUGAAAUCCUGGAGCUCAACUCCAGAACUGCCUUUGAUACUGAAGAUCUUGAGUUCGGGAGAGGUGAGUGGAACUGCGAGUGUAGAGGUGAAAUUCGUAGAUAUUCGCAAGAACACCAGUGGCGAAGGCGGCUC
RNAcentral lists this ribosomal RNA (502 nucleotides) under Bradyrhizobium sp. Its description in RNAcentral is "bacterial SSU rRNA". It matches the Rfam family "Bacterial small subunit ribosomal RNA", at positions 205 to 727 of the family's 1533-position model. Lineage: Bacteria; Pseudomonadati; Pseudomonadota; Alphaproteobacteria; Hyphomicrobiales; Nitrobacteraceae. The record is from RNAcentral.